RNAcentral lists this long non-coding RNA (347 nucleotides) under Elaeis guineensis (African oil palm). RNAcentral's name for it is "long non-coding RNA (EGUI_LNC073244)". The record is from RNAcentral. Lineage: Eukaryota; Viridiplantae; Streptophyta; Magnoliopsida; Arecales; Arecaceae.
AGUCUAAAUGAAGCUUGUCCAGCUCAGAAAAGGCUUGUCUUAAUUCAUGAGAUGAAUUUAAGACAAGCACCUACUAAUUCCUGUCACCUACCAAUUUCAUUUUAGGACAUCUGUCAAAUGUUGACAUAUGGGUCUUAAACUGAAGAGAGCUCAUUGGAGGAUUUUUGUGGAGUGUCCACAUACCAAAAUUAUAUUGAAUUGGGCACCAUAAUCAGAUUAUGGCGUGAGCCCAAUUGGAUUAAAGUGGGCGCCCCUAAUGGAUAAGGAUGAAGAGUCCUGAUUAACAUGGACUCUUUGGCGCCAACCCUUGCUUGUGCUUAUCCAAAGUUGGUGCCAACAUAGGAGAG